Syngnathoides biaculeatus (alligator pipefish) is the source of this 608-nucleotide long non-coding RNA. RefSeq lists it as uncharacterized. Lineage: Eukaryota; Metazoa; Chordata; Actinopteri; Syngnathiformes; Syngnathidae. The record is from RefSeq and is a predicted model, not a curated record. The transcript is spliced from 4 exons.
GGCUAUCAUUUAGUGCAGGUGCGCACAUUGUGUCUGCAGGCCACUCAAAGCUAAUCGCUCCCGGCUACUUUCAUGUCGACCCCUUCAGGUUCAGCCACUACUUUAGUUAAUGCGUCGUUGAGAUUCGUGUCCAAGCCAAGGAAUGGACGCCUGUGGCAGGAGAGAAGGCUUCACUCCUUCCGAAAUGACGAUUCCUGAGGAGUAAGAGUCAAGCAUUGACACGUGGAUUUGCAGAGCUUCGUCGCACGCGUGGGUGAGAGAAGUCCACAAUUGACUUAUGAGCUAAAGUGAGGAAAACCGUUCAGAUGGAUGGAGCUGACCCGUGAUGUGUCAAACUGCUCAAGAUGUUUUCAGUAUGGCUUUCGACACUUUUGGUUGCCGACCCCUGCUCUAACAAAUGGUGCCGUGACCCGGAUUCUGAAGAAGUACAGUGAGACGAGCUGAGACGUAGAACUGCACCGGAAUAAACGACUUGGGGGCAUUGCCCCUGCGUCCCGUGGGGAAGGAGGGUGCAUGGUCCAUCCACCCGAAACUAUGGUUCUAAUCAGUGGGGCAUAUGCAGUGGUGACCCCUGCCUGUUGGUGACCACCGACCAAACCCUGCUAUCC